RNAcentral lists this ribosomal RNA (492 nucleotides) under uncultured bacterium. RNAcentral's name for it is "partial 16S ribosomal RNA". It matches the Rfam family "Bacterial small subunit ribosomal RNA", at positions 29 to 507 of the family's 1533-position model. The record is from RNAcentral.
AGUGAACGCUGGCGGUAGGCCUAACACAUGCAAGUCGAACGGCAGCACAGUAAGAGCUUGCUCUUACGGGUGGCGAGUGGCGGACGGGUGAGGAAUACAUCGGAAUCUACUUUUUCGUGGGGGAUAACGUAGGGAAACUUACGCUAAUACCGCAUACGACCUACGGGUGAAAGCAGGGGAUCUUCGGACCUUGCGCGAUUGAAUGAGCCGAUGUCGGAUUAGCUAGUUGGCGGGGUAAAGGCCCACCAAGGCGACGAUCCGUAGCUGGUCUGAGAGGAUGAUCAGCCACAAUGGAGGUGAGACACGGUCCAGACUCCUACGGGAGGCAGCAGUGGGGAAUAUUGGACAAUGGGCGCAAGCCUGAUCCAGCCAUACCGCGUGGGUGAAGAAGGCCUUCGGGUUGUAAAGCCCUUUUGUUGGGAAAGAAAAGCAGCAGGUUAAUACCCCGCUGUUCUGACGGUACCCAAAGAAUAAGCACCGGCUAACUUCGUG